GAUGAACGCUGGCGGCGUGCCUAAUACAUGCAAGUCGAGCGAACAGACGAGGAGCUUGCUCCUCUGACGUUAGCGGCGGACGGGUGAGUAACACGUGGAUAACCUACCUAUAAGACUGGGAUAACUUCGGGAAACCGGAGCUAAUACCGGAUAAUAUAUUGAACCGCAUGGUUCAAUAGUGAAAGACAGUUUUGCUGUCACUUAUAGAUGGAUCCGCGCCGCAUUAGCUAGUUGGUAAGGUAACGGCUUACCAAGGCAACGAUGCGUAGCCGACCUGAGAGGGUGAUCGGCCACACUGGAACUGAGACACGGUCCAGACUCCUACGGGAGGCAGCAGUAGGGAAUCUUCCGCAAUGGGCGAAAGCCUGACGGAGCAACGCCGCGUGAGUGAUGAAGGUCUUCGGAUCGUAAAACUCUGUUAUUAGGGAAGAACAAAUGUGUAAGUAACUAUGCACGUCUUGACGGUACCUAAUCAGAAAGCCACGGCUAACUAUGUG
RNAcentral lists this ribosomal RNA (497 nucleotides) under uncultured bacterium. RNAcentral describes it as "partial 16S ribosomal RNA". It matches the Rfam family "Bacterial small subunit ribosomal RNA", at positions 28 to 507 of the family's 1533-position model. The record is from RNAcentral.